RNA transcript from Carya illinoinensis, 1187 nucleotides. It is a transcript of the gene named calcineurin subunit B-like, with no coding region annotated. The record is from RefSeq and is a predicted model, not a curated record. Lineage: Eukaryota; Viridiplantae; Streptophyta; Magnoliopsida; Fagales; Juglandaceae. The transcript has 7 exons.
CUCUCCCACCUAAAAACGUUACUCAAGCUGAGGCUUAUGCCAACAUAAGAACCAACGACGAGCUGUUUACACACGCUCCAACGACCAGCGGCCUCACCGAGGUAGUUUCAGAGAUGGUCACGUCGUUUCUCCCAAUUUCGUCCAUCUUCUUCUAACGUCAUCGGGCUUUCCACAGCUCCGAUUAGACCCCCCACAAACACCCGAUCCGCUUACUGUCCGGAAUCUUCACUUUGAACGCCAUGGGCAACACAUCAUCAAUGCUCACGCAGUACGACAUCGAAGAAGUCCAGGAACACUGCAGCCACACGUUUUCGCAGCAGGAAAUAGUGUCACUGUACCAGAGGUUCUGUCAGCUCGAUCGAAGCGGCGGUGGUUUCAUCUCUUCUGAGGAGUUCAUGUCCGUUCCUGAAUUCGCCGUCAACCCUCUCUCCCAGAGAUUGUUGAGGAUGUUGGACGGAUUGAACUUUAAGGAAUUCGUGGCAUUCUUGUCCGCAUUCAGUCCCCGUGCGACUUUACAACAGAAAAUUGAGUUUAUUUUUAGAGUUUAUGAUUCGGAUGGCAAUGGAAGAGUUGCGAUGAAUGACAUGCUCGAAGUUUUGCGGGACUUGACAGGACAAUAUAUAUCUGAACAACAGAGGGAGCAAGUUCUGACCCAAGUCCUUGAGGAAGCAGGCUACACAAAGGAUUCUUCGUUAGUUUUGUCGGACUUCAUGAAGAUUCUUGGCAAUUCUGAUUUGAAGAUGGAGGUUGAGGUUCCAGUGGAUUAAUGCAACAAAAAUAAGUUCUUUUCAACAACUCUGUACUUUGGUGGUCCAUAGGCAUUUCUCACAGUUCAUAUUUCCACCAUUCUGCUAAUAGAGCCAUGGCAAGCCACUCUGCAGAAGCUGCCCCAAACAGAGUUUCCCAUUAGUGUUUGUUUUUCUGGAAAUUGGGAACAAUACUACACUUCAUCCUAAAUCCUGUCAUCCCCAGUUAUACAUGGUAAUGUGUCAUAUUUCAAGUGACUUCUUCCAUCAAUUACUUAAAUGACAUCCCUUUGAAAUCUAUCACAUCACCAAGUAUUAUUGAGGAUGACAAAGAUUAGCAUGAAUUAAGAGUGUUCAUUGUGAGUUAAAACAUCGUUGUUCCUCAGCUUAUCAUCACAAAUAGGGAUAUGACAAACUUGACAGCAUUGGAAAGGAAAGAUG